Molecule: long non-coding RNA, 1249 nt
Filed under: Mytilus galloprovincialis (Mediterranean mussel)
Lineage: Eukaryota; Metazoa; Mollusca; Bivalvia; Mytilida; Mytilidae
Source: RNAcentral
UUUAGUUUAGUUUUUAUUUAACAAAAUCAAAAAUAAAAUAAACAAAUAUGUAAAAAAAAAUUCAAAAAAUUACCUUGGCAAAAAUAAUAUCUAAUAUCUCCUUUAAUACAUAUGCUCUGUUAUUGCAAUAAUUUUUACAUGUAAACAGAAUUGUAAAUUUAGAAAUGUGUAAACACUUUUUUUUUUGUUAUCUGUUUUAAAUGCUCAAAUAAUUACCUCGUAAACAAACAACAAUAUCACAUGCAAUACUUUCACAAAUAUAAAUAGAAACAAAAAAAAUUAAGCAUACAUACAGAAACAGGUCAAUUUUAUAGUUCAAAAUAUUCUUGGUAUUGAAAACAGUUGUGUGAACCUGGUAUAAAGGACAAUUUCAAACAAUUAACUACUGUAAACCAACUUCUUUUUUUGCGAGCAAUUUAUUUUCGUGACUUUCGCAAGUAGAAAAAUAGCGUGAAGAUAAAUCGUCGCGAAUAUGUAAAACUUUGAUCUUUCCCUAUUAGACUACAUGAAAGUAAAUUGGAAAAUGGUGAAAUUAAAAUAGCCGCGAAAUGGUAUAGGAAGAGUAAAACGCAAAAUAAAGUAUCCACUAAAUAAGUUGGUUUAAAAUAACAGUAUGUCAAAUCAAAGUAAUGGAUAAUGUUUUGUAAGUGUUUUUCUUAUAUUAUCGUCUAUUUCAGUUCUAUAAAAAAAUAUGCUAUUUUAUCAACAUGAACAAAACAAAUUGUUGGGCUUUCUAUAUCAAUGAGACAGUUCAAUAUCACAAAUGUUUUUACAAAAAUUGAAUCUCAAAAUGAUUAUAUGAUACAAUUUAGUAAAACAAAACAUUACUAUUUAAAGCUGAAUUAUGCUUCAUGAGGAAUGUAAAAUUUAUAUGUAAUAUUUUACCAUUGUAUAACUGUAUAGAUCCAUUUCAUCAUAACUAUACCUUAGUAUAACAAAAUAUAAGUAUAAACUGUAUCCCUGCUCUGAAGAAGAGCAAGCAAAUAUUUUUCAAAAGUUAGGUAAUUAUAAGCCUUAUUGAAAUCCUGAAUUAACAAGUUUAACUUAUUUAUAAUUUAAAACUUUAUUUUAUACUUAUAUCAAGCUGCUCAUUUUUUCUCAAAAUCAUUACAUUUUUUCCUAACUCAGCAAAAUUACAUGAAUGAUAAUUUGGAUAAUACAUUUCUAUGUUGUGUAAAUAAUGCACCAAUUAUGAAUAAUGUAAUACAAAAUGCACCAAUCAUAAUAAAUAAAGAUAUAAAUAACGCAC